CUGCGGAAGGAUCAUUC
This 17-nucleotide ribosomal RNA is filed under the name Toxoplasma gondii. RNAcentral describes it as "partial 18S ribosomal RNA". The record is from RNAcentral. RNAcentral also lists the same sequence under 4 other names. Lineage: Eukaryota; Apicomplexa; Conoidasida; Eucoccidiorida; Sarcocystidae.